Molecule: ribosomal RNA, 299 nt
Filed under: uncultured bacterium
Lineage: Bacteria
Description: partial 16S ribosomal RNA
Rfam family: Bacterial small subunit ribosomal RNA
Source: RNAcentral
UACCUACGGGGGGCAGCAGUGGGGAAUAUUGCACAAUGGGGGGAACCCUGAUGCAGCGACGCCGCGUGGGUGAAGGAGUACUUCGGUACGUAAAGCCCUAUCAGCAGGAAAGAAAAUGACGGUACCUGACUAAGAAGCCCCGGCUAACUACGUGCCAGCAGCCGCGGUAAUACGUAGGGGGCAAGCGUUAUCCGGAUUUACUGGGUGUAAAGGGAGCGUAGACGGCAGUGCAAGUCUGGAGUGAAAGGCGGGGGCUCAACCCCCGGACUGCUCUGGAAACUGUACGGCUGGGGUGCAGG